Molecule: long non-coding RNA, 383 nt
Organism: Xyrauchen texanus (razorback sucker)
Lineage: Eukaryota; Metazoa; Chordata; Actinopteri; Cypriniformes; Catostomidae
Exons: 3
Source: RefSeq, a predicted model, not a curated record
UCUGUGUGGUACCUGUAAAGCUGGCAUUUGCUUUUCAAUGGCAAAAAAGUCUGAAUAUACAAUGAAGAACACAAGUGAGGGGAGAAGUCUCUAUUCACCUAUUAUCCAAACUAAAUAUAAUGUGAAAAGAAACGUCAGCCCAAGGCCCCGUCUGACGGUCCGAAGAAGAUAUAUCCUGCCAGAGAUAGGAGGCAGGGGCGAAGAGUCUACCCCCGGGAAGGACGGGACUCAACUGGUGGUGGUGGGGUGGUGGAGGUUGCCGUGUUAGCACACUGAAACAGCAAUGUGAUAGAUUGUGACGGGAAGUUUACUCUGAAUUGCUGUCCAGCUAUGGAACACGAGGACCAUUGCGUUUCAGACCACACAUGGAAAAUCAACCCCCC